Molecule: ribosomal RNA, 432 nt
Filed under: uncultured bacterium
Lineage: Bacteria
Description: partial 16S ribosomal RNA
Rfam family: Bacterial small subunit ribosomal RNA
Source: RNAcentral
GAUGAACGCUGGCGGUAUGCUUAACACAUGCAAGUCGAACGGUCACUUCGGUGAUAGUGGCGGACGGGUGAGUAACGCGUGAGAAUCUGUCUUCAGGUCGGGGACAACAGUUAGAAAUGACUGCUAAUACCGGAUGUGCCUUUGGGUGAAAGAUUUAUUGCCUGAAAAAGAGCUCGCGUCAGAUUAGCUAGUAGGUGGUGUAAGAGACUACCUAGGCUCCGAUCUGUAGCUGGUCUGAGAGGACGAUCAGCCACACUGGAACUGAGACACGGUCCAGACUCCUACGGGAGGCAGCAGUGGGGAAUUUUCCGCAAUGGGCGAAAGCCUGACGGAGCAAUACCGCGUGAGGGACGAAGUCGUUUGGGUCGUAAACCUCUUUUCUCAAGGAAGAUGAUGACGGUACUUGAGGAAUAAGCAUCGGCUAACUCUGUG